GACGAACGCUGGCGGCGUGCUUAACACAUGCAAGUCGAACGGGCUGCCUGGUUUUCGGAUCGGGUGGUGAGUGGCGAACGGGUGAGUAACACGUGAGUAACCUGCCCCUCUCUUUGGGAUAACGUCGGGAAAUCGGCGCUAAUACCGGGUAUUCUGGCUUCCUCGCAUGGGGUUGUUGGGAAAGGUUUUUUCUGGUGGGGGAUGGGCUCGCGGCCUAUCAGCUUGUUGGUGGGGUGAUGGCCUACCAAGGCGGUGACGGGUAGCCGGCCUGAGAGGGUGUGCGGCCAGACUGAGACUGAGACACGGCCCAGACUCCUACGGGAGGCAGCAGUGGGGAAUAUUGCACAAUGGGCGGAAGCCUGAUGCAGCGACGCCGCGUGGGGGAUGACGGCCUUCGGGUUGUAAACCUCUUUCAGUGCAGAACAAGGCUCUUUGUGGGUUGAGGGUAUGCGCAGAAGAAGCGCCGGCUAACUACGUG
This 478-nucleotide ribosomal RNA is filed under the name uncultured bacterium. RNAcentral's name for it is "partial 16S ribosomal RNA". It matches the Rfam family "Bacterial small subunit ribosomal RNA", at positions 28 to 507 of the family's 1533-position model. The record is from RNAcentral.